AAAUGUCACUUGUUACCAUGUGGGACACACCAAGCACCUCGGAGGAUGAUUUAGGAUUUGACAGCUAACACUGGGAUUUCUGCCAAGGAGCCUGGCAGGUGUUUUACUGCAUGAGUGAUUGGAGGGAAUAAGAUGGAGAAAAUGGGUGUGUCUGUCUCUCCGGGGGGUUGGCAGCAAAGCAGGAAUGAAACAGCAGUGGGAAGGACAACAAAGAUGUUAAUUUGAAGGAAAACAGUAAAACAUGAAGAGGUGUCAAAAGGUGUCCAUAAACAAAAAGGUGGUUAAGAAGGUUGGACUGCAGAAUAACCAUUUUGCUGCUGUGCAAGCAGUAUGUACUUUCUGGAAAAUACUCCAUAAAUCUUGCCUUUGCAAAUGGAAGAAAUCCUGUGCUCCAGCAGCUUUGUAGAAAAAGCAAUGUUCUAUCUUAUUCCUGUGGAAUUGUUUCUAUUUCCACCGUGCUUUUUUCUGUAGUCUCCCUAUAACAAUUCCAGCUAACACGAGGUGUGUUCCCUCAUCACUCAGCUCUGUGGUGGUUUCCACAGCUAUAAGAUCAACAUGACAAACCAUUCUUACAAACAGACUUUGCUGGAGGUUUUUUUCCCCCUUGAGGUCAAGAGAAAUAAAUGUUAUACUUGGACAGCCCCAUCAAGUGUGUCAUAUGAAGAGGGUUUUAUCAGCACCUGUAGAAUGUCUCACAUCCUGGAGAAGGCACAGUGUGCAUUAUUUUAAAGGUGGUUAUGUCCUAGGGUUUGCUGCCAGAAGAGCUACAGAGUGAACUUGCCAAGGACCAUGAGAGUGUAACACCAAGGAAGCAGAGCCCAGGAGGCAGGGUGAGGGCACAGAACUGGUUCUGAAGCACAUCACGUCCUGUACAAACUCAGCCCUCUCCAUGCACAGCACUUGGCAUGCAAAUGUCAGGGAGCAUUUUCUGACAGGAGAGCAGUGCAGGCCAUGGAAAACUUGCAGCACUUUUAGUACAUCCCAAUGCAAUGUGGGGCACUUCCCUGCCAGGAGGUGACUGGAGUGAAAGAUGAUAACAUUCCAAAUUCAAUAUCAUUUAACUUUUUUUUAAUACAUCAAAUUAUUUCAUAAAUUUGAGUUUAAAAACCCCACCUGUACAUUAUAUUAAAUUUCAAUUUUUAGUGAGAAUAAGAGGUCUUGCUGUAUGUUCUGAGCAACACUGGUGCUUGCCACAAAAUGGUUACUACAGGAUGUCAGUUUCUUGCUUUAGCUGCCCUGAAAGCUCUUCCAUUAAAAGCACAUCCAUUUAGUUGCCAAUAUGAGGCAGAAGAUCAUGAAGAAGCAGCCUGAUCCUUACAUGACACCCCAGUGAGCCUUGAGAGCAGGCAGGAAGAGUGAUAUUGUCAGCAAUAACAGGCUCUGAAACAAAUGAAGUAUUUUGGAAGUGACAUGGAAAGAUUAAGACAGCUGGGCAUGAGAACUGAAAGAGAACGUGAUGAAGAUGGACAAAACUGAUAAGGAGGCACAGAACCCCUGGGUGGCUUCGACUUUGGCAGCACAGAACAGACGUGUUCAGCUCCCUGUGCCAGCCCUGCCCUGCCAAGGGCUGCCUGUGAGGACUGAAAUCUCUGCUCCUGCUCCCACAAGGCUGGUCACCCCUCUCGUGGAGACACAAAGCCAUGACAGAGGCGUUGCUUUCCCCAGGCACUUGUCUCGUUUACAGUGGGGCUGGUUUUUCCAUGCUCUGCCUGCCAAGGAAGCUGAAUCACAGAGGAACACUUGACUGCUGCGUGCUGCUUGUCUUGGCUCUCUCAUGAAGUGAGAAAAACAAACAAAUAUGAGCAGUGUAGUGCAAGAAUGCACAGAGCAGAACUUCCCUUCUCAAAAUAGGGCAUGGAGGGGCUGUAAAAGGGCUGUGUGUGACAUGAUUCCAGUUACCUGGAUAAUCCAGCCAGGGAUAAUAAUGAUUUGGCUGCACAUCCACACCAGCAGGACACUCCUGAGUGUAGAACUGGCCCUGCUGAAGCUGAGAACCAUGAGUUUCCUUUUCUACUGGUUUAAUGAGGAAAUUUCUCACCCCUUUCCUCCUAUCCCAGUAACACGUAUCCCAAACUGGUGGGAGGCAGCUCUUCCUGAUGAUGUGCUGCCAAAUCCUCUGCCUGUGCAAUGGAAACCACAGCCCAGUCAUGCACAGACUAGAAAGGUUUGGAACAUCAGUCUUCAGGACUGCCAAAGCAGCACUGCAGAAUUUAGACAGAACAUUUAAAAAUGGCAGUCUUUUCACAAGAGUUUUAUUUUUAUUGUAAGCUGUAAUUCUCCUCCUGUAUCUCUGCAUUCAGAGUGAAAUGGUAAAGGCUGUGGGUUGCAGAGCACUUACAUCAGUGAGAUUUAUCUCAGCACAUGGAGAGAGGAGAAUGAUGAUAGCACAGGGAAAAGGGAUAGUAAAGACAAUCAGAAAGUGUGGCAGAACAGGCACUGAUUGCACUGGAAAAUCCACAGAGGCCAAACAAAAUAAAUAGAGAAAAAUGAAGAGGACAAAUCUCUAGUAAAAUGAAAGCAUUUGUUGGGAUUUUAUUAUUUC
Molecule: long non-coding RNA, 2542 nt
Organism: Passer domesticus (house sparrow)
Lineage: Eukaryota; Metazoa; Chordata; Aves; Passeriformes; Passeridae
Exons: 4
Source: RefSeq, a predicted model, not a curated record